GGCGCGGAGUGGCAAGCGGAGUGGUUUUGUUCCGUAAGCUAUUGAUUAUAAACAACUGGCAACGGCCUGCAAAGCCGUGUACCCCGGUUCGAUUCCGAGUCGCGCCUCCA
RNAcentral lists this transfer RNA (110 nucleotides) under Rhodocyclaceae bacterium. RNAcentral describes it as "tRNA-Cys". Lineage: Bacteria; Pseudomonadati; Pseudomonadota; Betaproteobacteria; Rhodocyclales; Rhodocyclaceae. The record is from RNAcentral.